AGUGAACGCUGGCGGCAGGCCUAACACAUGCAAGUCGAACGGCAGCACAGUAAGAGCUUGCUCUUACGGGUGGCGAGUGGCGUACGGGUGAGGAAUACAUCGGAAUCUACUCUUUCGUGGGGGAUAACGUAGGGAAACUUACGCUAAUACCGCAUAUGACGUACGGGUGAAAGCAGGGGAUAUUCGGACCUUGCGGGAAUGAAUGAGCCGAUGACGGACUAGCUAGUUGGCGGGGUAAAGGCCCACCAAGGCGACGAUCCGUAGCUGGUCUGAGAGGAUGGUCGGCCGCACUGGAACUGGGACACGGUCCAUACUCCUACGGGAGGCAGCAGUCGGGAAUAUUAGGCAAUGGGCGCAAGCCUUAUCCAGCCAUACCACGUGUGUGGCGAAGGCCUUCGGGUUGUAAAGCCCUUUUUUUGGGAAAGAAAAGCAUCAGGUUGAUACCCCGCUGUUCUGACGGUACCCAAAAAAUAAGCACCGGCUAACUACGUG
This 492-nucleotide ribosomal RNA is filed under the name uncultured bacterium. RNAcentral's name for it is "partial 16S ribosomal RNA". It matches the Rfam family "Bacterial small subunit ribosomal RNA", at positions 29 to 507 of the family's 1533-position model. The record is from RNAcentral.